This 381-nucleotide RNase P RNA is filed under the name Aromatoleum petrolei. RNAcentral's name for it is "RNase P RNA component class A". It matches the Rfam family "Bacterial RNase P class A". From Rfam's summary of the family: Ribonuclease P (RNase P) is a ubiquitous endoribonuclease, found in archaea, bacteria and eukarya as well as chloroplasts and mitochondria. Its best characterised activity is the generation of mature 5'-ends of tRNAs by cleaving the 5'-leader elements of precursor-tRNAs. The record is from RNAcentral. Lineage: Bacteria; Pseudomonadati; Pseudomonadota; Betaproteobacteria; Rhodocyclales; Rhodocyclaceae.
GAAGUUCGCCAGGCAAUCGCUGCGCACCUCGUGUGCGUGGAGGAAAGUCCGGGCCCCGCAGAGCAGGAUGCCGGCUAACGGCCGGGCGCCGCGAGGCGACGGAAAGUGCAACAGAAAGCAAACCGCCGAUGGCCUGUUCGCAGGCACAGGUAAGGGUGAAAUGGUGGGGUAAGAGCCCACCGCAGUCCUGGUGACAGGACUGGCACGGUAAACCCCAUCCGGGGCAAGGCCAAAUAGGGGAGCAAUGGCGUGGCUCGCGCUGCUCCCGGGUAGGCUGCUAGAGCGCCGUGGCAACACGGCCCCCAGAGGAAUGAUUGCCCGGCGGCUGCGGCGAAGGUCGCGGCCGUUCGACAAAACCCGGCUUAUCGGCGAACUUCCCAU